UAUAAACAAGGCUUCCUAUACAUGUCCAAUGACUCAAGUUGAUUGAUGUAGGGGUAACCUAUCCAUGCUUCAAAGUACCAUGAAUGAUCACUUGAUCAUUCAUUAGUAGGUUUGAAGUAUGGAAGGUUCAAACAACCCUAAUCAAAUAAAUAUCAUGACAAAUAUAGACCUCAUUAUCCUUAAGGUUCAAGACCACAUAAGUCCACUAAAAAAAUAUCCAAAUGACUUGAAACAAGACAUAAAUAAAUACUAGAGACAAAAAUAAUAUGGGUCUAUCUUUAACAUAUUUUCAUAUUAAAUAAAAUAUGUGGGUUAAAAAAUAAAUCAAAGUUGGAAAUAAAAUGGUAAAAAUAAAAUGGGAAGUGAAACAAAAUAAAAAUAAACAAGAUUGCACACACUAGGGGUUGAACCCCUGGCCUUGGGAUCAUGGGGGGAU
Molecule: long non-coding RNA, 436 nt
Filed under: Lathyrus oleraceus (garden pea)
Lineage: Eukaryota; Viridiplantae; Streptophyta; Magnoliopsida; Fabales; Fabaceae
Description: Pisum sativum (pea) long non-coding RNA (PSAT_LNC025211)
Source: RNAcentral